AAUGUCGUAACAAGGUCUCCGUUGGUGAACCAGCGGAGGGAUCAUUACAGUGACUUCAGCGUCCAACCAUCGCGAAUUAUACCUGUUGCCUCGGCGGCUUGCCCCUGUGGCAACCCGCCGGUGGCCCAUUACUCCGUCUCUUGCGUUGCAUCUCUGAGCAUCAAAAAAUUGAGUCAAAA
RNAcentral lists this unclassified non-coding RNA (179 nucleotides) under plant metagenome. RNAcentral describes it as "partial contains small subunit ribosomal RNA and internal transcribed spacer 1". The stretch from base 1 to 47 matches the Rfam family "Eukaryotic small subunit ribosomal RNA", at positions 1785 to 1831 of the family's 1831-position model. The record is from RNAcentral.